GGGGAUGACGGAUUUAGACAGUUCUUUGACAGACCCACGUUAUGCAAGACGAGCACGCUCAUGUGCCUCGCUAAUCCAGUGAGCAUCCAACAAAUGCAGCUCAAACUGCUUGGAAUAAAGUUGUAACUGCGUUUAACGCAGCUACCUUUGCUCCAGCAUAUGCCUAAACUUUAGGUGUAUGCCUAGCACCUGCUUAUUUCCCGCAGCAGGAUUCGCUAGUUCAUUAGGGAAUAUAUAUGGCGUGGUUGGUUUACCUGCACCAUAUGAACUUUGUAAACCGACUGUUGUGGCUUGUCGUCAGCUACGAUACACAGCAGUACUACUAGCUGACUAAUCUUGUGAAUAAACGUUGUCUGUAAAACUACUGGACGGGGGUUUAACUCCCCCCAUCUCCACCA
This 398-nucleotide transfer-messenger RNA is filed under the name Candidatus Doudnaibacteriota bacterium. Its description in RNAcentral is "Candidatus Doudnabacteria bacterium transfer-messenger RNA". It matches the Rfam family "transfer-messenger RNA". Rfam says of the family: Bacterial tmRNA, also known as 10Sa RNA or SsrA, is named for its dual tRNA and mRNA-like properties. Its role is to liberate the mRNA from a stalled ribosome. The record is from RNAcentral. Lineage: Bacteria; Candidatus Doudnaibacteriota.